GAUGAACGCUGGCGGCGUGCCUAAUACAUGCAAGUCGAGCGAACAGACGAGGAGCUUGCUCCUCUGACGUUAGCGGCGGACGGGUGAGUAACACGUGGAUAACCUACCUAUAAGACUGGGAUAACUUCGGGAAACCGGAGCUAAUACCGGAUAAUAUAUUGAACCGCAUGGUUCAAUAGUGAAAGACGGUUUUGCUGUCACUUAUAGAUGGAUCCGCGCCGCAUUAGCUAGUUGGUAAGGUAACGGCUUACCAAGGCAACGAUGCGUAGCCGACCUGAGAGGGUGAUCGGCCACACUGGAACUGAGACACGGUCCAGACUCCUACGGGAGGCAGCAGUAGGGAAUCUUCGGCAAAGGGCGAAAGCCUGACGGAGCAACGCCGCGUGAGUGAUGAAGGUCUUCGGAUCGUAAAACUCUGUUAUUAGGGAAGAACAAAUGUGUAAGUAACUAUGCACGUCUUGACGGUACCUAAUCAGAAAGCCACGGCUAACUACGUG
RNAcentral lists this ribosomal RNA (497 nucleotides) under uncultured bacterium. RNAcentral's name for it is "partial 16S ribosomal RNA". It matches the Rfam family "Bacterial small subunit ribosomal RNA", at positions 28 to 507 of the family's 1533-position model. The record is from RNAcentral.